This 497-nucleotide ribosomal RNA is filed under the name uncultured bacterium. Its description in RNAcentral is "partial 16S ribosomal RNA". It matches the Rfam family "Bacterial small subunit ribosomal RNA", at positions 28 to 507 of the family's 1533-position model. The record is from RNAcentral.
GAUGAACGCUGGCGGCGUGCCUAAUACAUGCAAGUCGAGCGAACGGACGAGAAGCUUGCUUCUCUGAUGUUAGCGGCGGACGGGUGAGUAACACGUGGAUAACCUACCUAUAAGACUGGGAUAACUUCGGGAAACCGUAGCUAAUACCGGAUAAUAUUUUGAACCGCAUGGUUCAAAAGUGAAAGACGGUCUUGCUGUCACUUAUAGAUGGAUCCGCGCUGCAUUAGCUAGUUGGUAAGGUAACGGCUUACCAAGGCAACGAUGCAUAGCCGACCUGAGAGGGUGAUCGGCCACACUGGAACUGGGACACGGUCCAGACGCCUACGGGAGGCAGCAGUAGGGAAUCUUCCGCAGUGGGCGAAAGCCUGACGGAGCAACGCCGCGUGAGUGGUGAAGGUCUUCGGAUCGUAAAACUCUGUUAUUAGGGAAGAACAUAUGUGUAAGUAACUGUGCACAUCUUGACGGUACCUAAUCAGAAAGCCACGGCUAGCUACGUG